RNAcentral lists this ribosomal RNA (460 nucleotides) under uncultured bacterium. Its description in RNAcentral is "partial 16S ribosomal RNA". It matches the Rfam family "Bacterial small subunit ribosomal RNA", at positions 338 to 795 of the family's 1533-position model. The record is from RNAcentral.
CCUACGGGCGGCAGCAGUGAGGAAUAUUGGUCAAUGGACGAGAGUCUGAACCAGCCAAGUAGCGUGAAGGAUGACUGCCCUAUGGGUUGUAAACUUCUUUUAUAUGGGAAUAAAACGUUCCACGUGUGGGAUUUUGUAUGUACCAUAUGAAUAAGGAUCGGCUAACUCCGUGCCAGCAGCCGCGGUAAUACGGAGGAUCCGAGCGUUAUCCGGAUUUAUUGGGGUUAAAGGGAGCGUAGGUGGUUUGUUAAGUCAGUUGUGAAAGUUUGCGGCUCAACCGUAACAUUGCAGUUGAAACUGGCAGUCUUGAGUACAGUAGAGGUAGGCGGAAUUCGUGGUGUAGCGGUGAAAUGCUUAGAUAUCACGAAGAACUCCGAUUGCGAAGGCAGUUCACUGGACUGCAACUGACACUGAGGCUCGAAGGUGUGGGUAUCAAACAGGAUUAGAUACCCUUGUAGUC